RNAcentral lists this non-coding RNA (45 nucleotides) under Enterococcus italicus DSM 15952. Lineage: Bacteria; Bacillati; Bacillota; Bacilli; Lactobacillales; Enterococcaceae. The record is from RNAcentral.
GGUUGAGCAUAGCUUUCAAGGUGCGUUUCUUCAGGGGCGGGAGAA